RNAcentral lists this ribosomal RNA (494 nucleotides) under uncultured bacterium. Its description in RNAcentral is "partial 16S ribosomal RNA". It matches the Rfam family "Bacterial small subunit ribosomal RNA", at positions 28 to 507 of the family's 1533-position model. The record is from RNAcentral.
GACGAACGCUGGCGGCGUGCUUAACACAUGCAAGUCGAACGGAAAGGCCUGCUUUCCCUUGUGGAUUGCGGGUACUCGAGUGGCGAACGGGUGAGUAACACGUGAGUGAUCUGCCCCCAACUUGGGUAUAAGCCUGGGAAACUGGGUCUAAUUCCCGAUAGGACUGCAGGGUAGUGCCUGUGGUGGAAAACGAUUUUCUAGUGGUUGGGGAUGAGCUCGCGGCGUAUCAGCUUGUUGGUGGGGUAAUGGCCUACCAAGGCGGCGACGGGUAGCCGGCGUGAGAGGGUGGACAGCCACACUGGGACUGGGAUACGGCCCAGACUCGUGCGAGAGGCAGCAGUUGGGAAUAGUGGACAGUGGGCGGGAGCCUGAUGCAGCGACGCCGCGUGGGGGAUGACGGGCUUCGGGUGGUAAACUCCUUGCGAACGCGAGGAAGCCACCUGGUUGGAAGGGUGGUGACGGUAGUGGUAGAAGAAGCACCGGCUAACUACGUG